GAUGAACGCUAGCGAUAGGCCUAACACAUGCAAGUCGAGGGGCAUCACGGAGUAGCAAUACUUUGGUGGCGACCGGCGCACGGGUGAGUAACGCGUAUGCAAUCUACCUACAACAGGGGGAUAACCCGGAGAAAUCCGGACUAAUACCGCACAACACAGGGGUCCCGCAUGGGAAUAUUUGUUAAAGAUUUAUCGGUUGUAGAUGAGCAUGCGUUCCAUUAGGUAGUUGGUGAGGUAACGGCCCACCAAGCCUGCGAUGGAUAGGGGAACUGAGAGGUUUGUCCCCCACACUGGAACUGAGACACGGACCAGACACCUACGGGAGGCAGCAGUGAGAAAUAUUGGUCAAUGGGCGAGAGCCUGAACCAGCCAAAUCGCGUGAAGGAAGACUGCCUUAUGGGUUGUAAACUUCUUUUGUACAGGAAUAAAAAGAGGGACGUGUCCUUCAUUGCAUGUACUGUACGAAUAAGCAUCGGCUAACUCCGUGCCAGCCGCCGCAGUAA
Molecule: ribosomal RNA, 503 nt
Filed under: uncultured bacterium
Lineage: Bacteria
Description: partial 16S ribosomal RNA
Rfam family: Bacterial small subunit ribosomal RNA
Source: RNAcentral